This 481-nucleotide ribosomal RNA is filed under the name uncultured bacterium. RNAcentral's name for it is "partial 16S ribosomal RNA". It matches the Rfam family "Bacterial small subunit ribosomal RNA", at positions 28 to 507 of the family's 1533-position model. The record is from RNAcentral.
GAUGAACGCUGGCGGCGUGCUUAACACAUGCAAGUCGAACGAAGCACUUUAUUUGAUUUCCUUCGGGACUGAUUAUUUUGUGACUGAGUGGCGGACGGGUGAGUAACGCGUGGGUAACCUGCCUUGUACAGGGGGAUAACAGUUGGAAACGGCUGCUAAUACCGCAUAAGCGCACGGCAUCGCAUGAUGCAGUGUGGAAAACUCCGGUGGUGUAAGAUGGACCCGCGUUGGAUUAGCUAGUUGGUGAGGUAACGGCCCACCAAGGCGACGAUCCAUAGCCGACCUGAGAGGGUGACCGGCCACAUUGGGACUGAGACACGGCCCAAACUCCUACGGGAGGCAGCAGUGGGGAAUAUUGCACAAUGGGCGAAAGCCUGAUGCAGCGACGCCGCGUGAGCGAAGAAGUAUUUCGGUAUGUAAAGCUCUAUCAGCAGGGAAGAUAAUGACGGUACCUGACUAAGAAGCACCGGCUAAAUACGUG